This is a long non-coding RNA of Balaenoptera ricei (Rice's whale), 1709 nucleotides long. RefSeq lists it as uncharacterized. The record is from RefSeq and is a predicted model, not a curated record. Lineage: Eukaryota; Metazoa; Chordata; Mammalia; Artiodactyla; Balaenopteridae. The transcript has 3 exons.
UCCUCAGAAGCAAACACACAGUGAGAAGAACCGCCAAAGAAUCCCUGGACAGAAAAAAACCCAAAAAACAAAAAACGCAGAAAUAAACGUCUCUCCCUUGGAAUGAAAAGUCGGCCUUUCAAACCAGGUUGCUGGGAAGGUGUGUGUAUUUUCCUACUGUAUUAGGAUUUAACAAAGGACGGCGUCCAGCUUUUGAAUCCUUUGGCCCCAAAGACUUGCCUAAUCCCGGGCGCCGCAGGAAAGUUGAACGCGCUGGCUUUUGGUUUAGAAAGUCGUGGUCGGCCCAGAUGCGGCUUCUCUCCCUGAACGCAUGCAGACCUCCACCUUCCCGCCGCUGGGAUGAUCGACGGCUACAGGACGUUGCCGGCGUCAGAAGAAAAAUACCGCCAAGAAGGAAAUAAAGAAGCAGAAAAUGAGAACGGAGGUCAAGACGUGACUUCUUCAUGCAGGCUACUCACCGUCCCGUUGGUGCCACCGGGCUGCGUGCAGGAAGCUCUCGCAGUAAUGCAUCAGGAACUCGUGGCCCGAGUGCUGGGCUGUCCCCAGUAGCAAGGGCAGCAGGUCCUGGCCGUCAAUCACCCUACAGGCAGGAGCACAGGGACUCAGGGCGGGGCUGCUGGAAGGGGGGAGUGAGCCUGAACAAGCCCAGGGCAGCCCUGGGGCCGUCAGCAUACCGUCCGCCUGCACACAGCGCCUUUGGCUAAAAGAUCUUGGAGGGUCCAGCUCGCUCGGCUGAAGUAAUGGUCCACCCAGCCUUAUUCUGAAGGCACAAAUAGGAAGAAAAACUGGAAUCGGGCUUCCCUGGUGGUGCAGUGGUUAAGAAUCUGCCUGCCAAUGCAGGGGACACGGGUUCGAACCCUGGUCCGGGAAGAUCCCACAUGCCGCGGAGCAACUAAGCCCACAAGCCACGACUACUGAGCCCGCGAGCCACAACUGCUGAGCCCGCGUGCCCAGGGCCCGUGCUCCGCAACAAGAGAAGCCACCGCAAUGCGAAGCCCACGCACCAUAAAGAAGAGUAGCCCCCGCUCGCCACAACUAGAGAAAGCCCGCGUGCAGCAACGAAGACCCAACACAGCCAAAAAGAAAUAAAUAAAAUAAUAAAUAAAUAAGAAAAACUGGGAUCAUGAAAAGUUCCUACCACGCUACAUCAAAAGGAAUCACUUGUGAUGAAUCGUUAGUAAAUUCAUUGAUGCAUUUCAGUGACAAUCAUCCUUAAAAUCAAAUGGUUCCACUUAAGACUGAGGAGAAGAGAAGGACAUUUUGUGCAUAAAAUGAAGCAGACAUUGGAUCCCAGCAGAGAAUGAUGACCGUUUUUCCAGAUACUGAUCUCACGGAUGUUUUGUGCCAAACAAAAGUGACAGUGAUGUUUGACAUACGUGUUGGCUCUACACAAAACGCAACUGCCUUCUUUGGGCUGCUCUGUACCUGUCAUGGGGCACCUGGCCACCCCCCAGCUGGACCACAGUGGGGAAGACAUCCAUCAGGCUGGUGGGCUCGUGGAUCACGCGGCCAGCGGGCAGCACCCCGGGCCACCGGAGUAUCCCCGGGACCCGGAUCCCACCUUCCCAGCCGCCCAUGCCUUUGCCACCUGUGUUCAAACAUGAACAGGAAAGAAUGUGAUUGAAAAUCCAAAGUGGUUGCUUACCCGGGUGGUUUAACCUUUCCAUUUGUUUUAAAUCUCUCUUUCUCUCCCUCCCUCUUUAAUUACA